UUUGAUUCUCUCCAGUCCACAGAGCGCCAAAACCAGUAUGCAGCCAGAUGCCGAUACCAGGAAAGUGCUCGAAAAGUUACAAGAAAUGGCUGUUUCUUUUUGGUGCCAACACGUGCAUUUCAUAUUCUAACAAUCUCUGCGGCAAAGGCGAUAACAGCUUCCGGACGUAUCCUGAAUGCAUGGCACGAUGCAGUUAUAAUGAACACCACACGCAUUCGUCAAAUUACCCAAGGCCGAUGACGAAUGAUUUGCCUCAAAGAACAAACACAGGAAAGCACAGGCUCUAAAUUGGCAGCGCCUUUACGCUACAUUUCUGGGAAAUGUCACUCACAUAAAAUCACCCAAUAAAGAAAAUCAUAAUCCAG
This is a long non-coding RNA of Dermacentor silvarum, 365 nucleotides long. RefSeq lists it as uncharacterized. The record is from RefSeq and is a predicted model, not a curated record. NCBI's taxonomy places the organism in Eukaryota, Metazoa, Arthropoda, Arachnida, Ixodida, Ixodidae. The transcript is spliced from 2 exons.